This 375-nucleotide ribosomal RNA is filed under the name uncultured Leptolinea sp. Its description in RNAcentral is "bacterial SSU rRNA". It matches the Rfam family "Bacterial small subunit ribosomal RNA", at positions 993 to 1382 of the family's 1533-position model. Lineage: Bacteria; Bacillati; Chloroflexota; Anaerolineae; Anaerolineales; Anaerolineaceae. The record is from RNAcentral.
UAGGAAGGCCGAAAGGUGACCGGACCCUUCGGGGAGCUUGCACAGGUGCUGCAUGGCUGUCGUCAGCUCGUGUCGUGAGAUGUUCGGUUAAGUCCGCUAACGAGCGCAACCCUCGCUGUGUGUUAUAUGUGUCACACGGGACUGCCGGUCUUAAGCCGGAGGAAGGUGGGGAUGAUGUCAAGUCAGCAUGGCCUUUAUAUCCUGGGCUACACACACGCUACAAUGGCCAACACAAUAGGUUGCUAAGCCGCGAGGUGGCGCCAAUCCAUAAAGUUGGUCUCAGUUCAGAUUGUAGGCUGCAACCCGCCUGCAUGAAGAUGGAGUUGCUAGUAACCGCAGGUCAGCUAUACUGCGGUGAAUACGUUCCCGGGGCUU